UCUUUUUUCUAUGAUUUUGUUUCGAAUUAUUAAAUUGGGACGCUAUUACACACUGCAAGCAUUUUACCGUACAUUAUUUUUAAACAUUUUCCCACUUCAUUAAGCAUAAAGAUGUUAUUUUAAAGGGCUUCAUAACGUUCCAUUCUAUGAAUAUUCUCAUUGGAGUUAAAGUGUUCCCUUUUUUUUUUAACAUCAUGAUGAAUAUCUUUGUCUGCAUUUGUAUUUUCUUAGGAUAGAAUUAUUGGAUUUUAAGGAAGUCUUUUUGAAAAUUCUUGAGAGCUGAUGGUUAUUUUUUGAAAUUACAAGGGAUUUGCUUUUCUUAGAAAGGGAGAGAUCUUACCACAACCAGGGAAUACUGGGUGCUGAAGUGACUUCCGGCAGAACUAAUGAGUCAAACAAACCACAAACAAAACAAACACACACACAAACAAAUGAAAUAAACACACUGUAUAUACACACUAGCUAUACUAUAUAUCAAUGAUAUAGUAUGUAUGUAUACGUGUGUGUAUGUGUAUACGUUUAUGUAUUUGUGUAUACUGAACAAGGAGAGGGAGGAAGAAAACUCUGCUUCUCUCCCACCCUACUCACCGUGGAUUGCUUUUGAUCUCUAAGAGGGAGGGAGGGAGGGAGGGAGGCGGGAAGACAGGGGAACAGCUUUAGGGCAAGCUUGGUGAUUCUUUGGGCACAAGGAACACUGCGUGGGAGACCUGAGGAGCAGAGCGGAGGAGAUGGCCUUUCUCCCCACUUCUGCAUGGGCCCUGGCUCCACGCUGGCCCUCGAGGACCGAGAGCUUGGGUGGCUCCAGCAGGCAGCACCCUGCCUACACAUGACUGCUUUCUUGGGUAGUACACGGUGAAAACUUUGAAGCUCCUUCGGGUGGAGUUUCUAGAAAGGAGGGCGCCUGAGCGGCAGGGAGCGCGUGGAACAGAUGCCCGCGGGUUAUGCUCCUGGCGGACGGGUUCGCCAGCGCUUGUGAGAUGCCCCUGGGGAGGUGGGGGUCUUGGAACCGAAAUCUGUUCGGGUGGCUGCAGGAAUUGGACUUCGUAUUUGAGCAUCCAGGGCUUUUUUUUUUUUUUGGCCAAUGAGAGGUGUGUUUAACUGCUGCUCCUGUGACUUUUAUCUGUGUCCACAACUUGGCCACGCUGAGGGUUGUUGGCUUUCAUAUAUGGAAUACUCCAUUCAUCAAGAUGAAGAAAAUAGAGUGGAAACCGAAAAAAGAGGGGAAAUGGUGAUUAAAGGGGAAAACAUGAAGCCGUGCAAAUCUCAAGUUUGCAGAAACUGGAGCUUGGAGUGAGAAGGAGGCUCAGACUUGCAGAACGUACAGGCUGGAAGGAACAGCAAGGUCCUCUUCCAUUUCAACGCCUUCAUUUUACAGAGGAGGCAUCCGAGGCCCUGAGGGAGUUGCCACUUCCUCCAAGUCACGCAGAGAGUCGGUGUGAGCCAGCGCGCAGGUCUGCUGACACUUCAACCGGAGCCCCGUCCUCUGCCUGCCGCUGCCUCUCUGGUCAAGGACCUGCAGCCUGUAGGUGCUAUUAACGAGGGGGCAGUGCUCACGAGUUGUUGGUCCGUUUGGGCUUCUCUGUCAGAGCACCAUAGAGCGGGGAGCUUUAUUUCUCACAGUUCCGGAGGAUGGAAGUCCAAGAUCAGGCACCAGCGUGGUUCCGGUGACGGCCCUUUUCCCGCUGGCAGACUGCCGACGUCUCCUCGUAUCCCCGCUGGCAGAGUGAGAGAUGGUGUACGCAAGCUCUCUCUCCAGUCUUCUUAUCAGGGCACUAAUCCCAUUCGUGAAGGUUCGUCUUCACGACCUUAUUUACUCCUGGUCACUCCCAGAGGCCUCCCCUCCAAAUACCGUCACACCGUGGGUAGGGUAUCAAGAUGUGAGUUUGCGGUGGGCGCAGAGGGUAGCAUCGCACACAGAAGGCACACAGGUGUUGGGACAGUGUUCUCCUGUCCUGGCUGCUUUAGAAUCUCCCGGGAGCUUUGUGCAGCCCCGAUGCCCGGGCUGCCCCUCAGAUUGAUGACAUGAGCGUCUCUGACGGUGAGACCCUGGCAUCAGUAUCCCCCGGGAUCCAGCUCCCCCGGGGAUGGCAGGCAGAGUCAGGGCCCCUGUGCGAGAGGGGUGGCACGUCGCCGUGUCACCACAGGGCCCGGGUCCUGGUGUUCACCUGGCAUCAGGAGCCGUACUGCCCGCACCCCUGGCCCGCUUGUUACCUGGUGACUACCGGAUGUGAAGUCAGGGUCUAGCCUGGCCGGUUUCUGAAGCUCCUCCCAGUUUGAGAACCUGAGAGUCUAAGUAAAAGGAAAUAGACAUCGUGCUCGAAUAGCCUUAAGGAAGCCCACCUUUUCGAUUCCUUGCGAUUCUUCUUGGCUCUUUAUUUCCUCCCACAGAGAUUCCCAUGAGCGCUUCACGAUUUCUUAAAGAAAAAGAAAUGAAAACGCAUCGGGUUGCCUUGAAAUCACUGGAGAGCUGCACAGGGCCCCGGUGUCUGGGGUGAUGACUGAGGAGGUUGCGGGGACUGACACAGGCUGUGUGCUCCAGCGCUCCGUUCCCCCGCUCCCACCCCUCGGGGCCCCUUCACACUCCCCACAACCUCCCAGGACCUAGCGGUGGAAACACCAGCGUAAUGCUUAUGAAGUCACGCCCCACGAGGUUUGGUCUUGGAGCAGCGUUACGGCUGAAAGAACACAGUCCAUGCAAUCAGAAGUUAUUUCGAAAUAAAUCAAGUCCUCUACUUAACUUCGCAGAUGCCCGGGGUGAACAGCAAGAGGGCCCCCAAGGCUGCCCGACUCCCCUUUCUUCCCUGAAUAUGCCCCCCGCCCCCACGCAGGCCGCCAGGCUUUCCAAACUCUCCCCCAAGCCCCCCCCCCCCCCGGCCUCUGCCUCCCACACUCCUUUUCUCCUGCUUGUUUUCACCCAGAUCUCCAUCUGGAAGCCCCAGAGUCUCCCCUCUCAUCUCCUGGAGGCAGGGCUGACCUCAGAGGGCGGAAGGAGGCGAACACUGAAGCUUAGAACGCUGGAUGCAGAAUGAGAGCAAAGGGGAGAGAAAGGCGGGGACCCCCCGGGCUGGCGGCGGGGACCGAGGCUGCUGGCGCUGAACAGGCUGUUGCUGGGAGUCGGAUGAGUGAAAAUUUCAUCAAGGAUGAGCCUGGUGCCAGAAUCUGAUUUGGAGAACCUGUGCCUGAAUCUAGCCUCAAAAACAAAAGAGCUCUUCUUCCGAAUCGCUCUUCUGAAGGAAACAAGGGAAGGUGGCAGACGGACUUGGUAAUACCUCCCUCACUGGAAUGUCAUGACGAGCAGAUGGUGCAGACCUUAGAAAGGGCCGGGCACACACAGGAUGUGAAUAAAUGAGUGGACUGGAAUGUGCAAAGAAGCCUGGCUUGCAGGAAUCUCCCACGGGCCUCCCCGAGAUCCUUUGUGAAAAUGUAAGUUAUACUUAUUCUCACUUGGAGUGAGAGCGUUGUAUAUUGUCUGGAAACAAUUAGAGGUAUUUUUCCAUUUUGAUCUGACAACCUCAGACACAUAGGCAAUUGUGGGGGUGGGGUGGGGGUGGUUAGAAGUUCUACUGUUAACUAUUUAAACAGUUAAAGUAUUAAAACUGAUUAAGUCGAAUAUGCUUGGAGCCCCAAAGGGUGGGGGCUGAUGGAACAGGGAGGCUCAGAAAGGUUUAAAAGUCACCAGGAAGAAAAAUCUUGGAGCUCUGGAAAAUAUUUUGUCACUGCUAAUGAUUUUCCAAGACCCUCCAGGAAAAUAGUGUGACAAUACAAGGCCAUUGGGGGGAAGGCUUGAGCUGACAUCAGAGGCUGCCUGGGGACCUGGGAGACUGCAGGUGAGCCCGGCAUCACCUGGUUUAAGGUGUGACACCAGUACUAUGACCCUGGACCAGACUGCAAAGAAAGAGCUGCAGAGCGAUAGGUCUUUUUGUAAAGGUGUGCCAGUCUCCUGGAGACUGCAUUUGGAUUGUUAAAAAGAGAAUUUAUGGUGGUUUACCUGUUGCUUUGUUUUGAAAGAAGGCUGGAGUGGAAAGAGGUCAGGGAGGGGUCAGGGCAGCCCGAAAAAUUGCUUGGGGGACGUGGCCAAUGUGGACAAGGGAUCGGUAGAACCCAGGGCUACCUCAGCAGGCCAGGUUUGUGAAAACCCUUUUCAACUUUAUUUCAAAACUGAAGUUAGAGGCAAAUGUUCCCACCUCUCGGCUGUUUGUCAAUGAAGUCCAAAUUGCCAAGUGCCAUGGAGGACGACUGUGUCAACAGAACAAGGCUUUGCAUCUGCCAAAUGGUAGUCAGCAAAGGGACCUCUCACGUUUGUGUUUUCACAGCUCUGGUCUAGUGGAUCCUUGCGGCAAACCUGGAGGGAAGCGGGAAGGUGUCGCCAUUUCAAAGGUGGAAACGUGGGGGCUCGGAGAGGUGGGGUGCAGAGCUGGUGAGCGGUGGAGUGAGGAUGCACGGCUGGUCCUCCCACUGCACUCAGUCCCUGUGCCCACACCGCGUGUGGCUGCCAGGCUGCCUCGGUGGAGAGCCUGGGCUGUGCAGUGAGCUCGUGGGGGCAGGGCGAGGUGGGGCCCGUAGGACACAGCUGUCCCUUCCUUUCCCUGCCUGCCUUUCUUCUUUCCCUGCUUCCUCUGCAUGUGUCUGCAGCCUCCCGAUUAUAAAGGAGCAAGAAGGACAAGCGAUCAGCCUUGGAGCAGAAGCAGAAUACAAAAGCUACAGUGUGAGAUGCCCGGGGUCCUAAAGUUCA
This is a non-coding RNA of Vicugna pacos (alpaca), 4732 nucleotides long. The record is from RefSeq and is a predicted model, not a curated record. NCBI's taxonomy places the organism in Eukaryota, Metazoa, Chordata, Mammalia, Artiodactyla, Camelidae.